GGGCCUGUAGCUCAAUUGGCUAGAGCGUCACAAUGGCAUUGUGAAGGUUGUGGGUUCAAGUCCCAUCAGGUCCA
RNAcentral lists this transfer RNA (74 nucleotides) under Candidatus Curtissbacteria bacterium. RNAcentral describes it as "tRNA-Ala". It matches the Rfam family "tRNA". From Rfam's summary of the family: Transfer RNA (tRNA) molecules are approximately 80 nucleotides in length. Their secondary structure includes four short double-helical elements and three loops (D, anti-codon, and T loops). Lineage: Bacteria; Candidatus Curtissiibacteriota. The record is from RNAcentral.